AUCUAGUUGAAGUAUCCCAAAUAGGACGAAACAAGCUUUCUGGAU
Schistosoma mattheei is the source of this 45-nucleotide non-coding RNA. The record is from Rfam. Lineage: Eukaryota; Metazoa; Platyhelminthes; Trematoda; Strigeidida; Schistosomatidae.